GAUGAACGCUGGCGGCGUGCCUAAUACAUGCAAGUCGAGCGAACGGACGAGAAGCUUGCUUCUCUGCUGUUAGCGGCGGACGGGUGAGUAACACGUGGAUAACCUACCUAUAAGACUGGGAUAACUUCGGGAAACCGGAGCUACUACCGGAUGAUAUUUUGAACCGCAUGGUUCAAAAGUGAAAGACGGUCUUGCUGUCACUUAUAGAUGGAUCCGCGCUGCAUUAGCUAGUUGGUAAGGUAACGGCUUACCAAGGCAACGAUGCAUAGCCGACCUGAGAGGGUGAUCGGCCACACUGGAACUGAGACACGGUCCAGACUCCUACGGGAGGCAGCAGUAGGGAAUCUUCCGCAAUGGGCGAAAGCCUGACGGAGCAACGCCGCGUGAGUGAUGAAGGUCUUCGGAUCGUAAAACUCUGUUAUUAGGGAAGAACAUAUGUGUAAGUAACUGUGCACAUCUUGACGGUACCUAAUCAGAAAGCCACGGCUAACUACGUG
Molecule: ribosomal RNA, 497 nt
Filed under: uncultured bacterium
Lineage: Bacteria
Description: partial 16S ribosomal RNA
Rfam family: Bacterial small subunit ribosomal RNA
Source: RNAcentral